This 542-nucleotide long non-coding RNA is filed under the name Pan troglodytes (chimpanzee). RNAcentral's name for it is "long non-coding RNA NONPTRT005457". Lineage: Eukaryota; Metazoa; Chordata; Mammalia; Primates; Hominidae. The record is from RNAcentral.
AAUGAAACUUCCUUACUGUUCACUAACCUACAUCUCAAUUACCUCCCAACAUGUUUGCAGCAAGUACCCUGUCGAUGGUAGGCAAGAGGAAGGUGUGACCCACAAAGAUCAAGGAAUCUAAGCCGGCCAAGUUCUAAAGGCUGGAAAGUCCAAGACCAAGACACCAGCAGAUUCAGUGUCUGGUGAGAGCCCACUCUCUGAUUCACAGAAGGCUUCUUACUGUGUUGAAAAGUUACCCAUGGUUCGCUGAGGUCCAACAAUAUUCAGUGAAAAAUUCCAUAAAUAAACAACUUAUACGUUUCGAAUUGCAUGCCGUUCUUAGUAGUGUGAUGAAAUCUCACGCCACCCAGCUCCAUCCUGCCCGGGAUGUGAAUCAUCCUUUUGUCCAUCGUAUUCCUGCUGUAGACAUGACUCAACCCACCCAUCACUUAGCAGCCGUCUGGGUUAUCAGAUUGACUGUCAUAGUGGCACAGUGCUUGUGUUCAAGCAACCCUUAUUUUACUUCCCGAUGGCCCCAAAGUGCAAGAGUAGCGACGCUGGUG